RNAcentral lists this ribosomal RNA (254 nucleotides) under uncultured bacterium. RNAcentral's name for it is "partial 16S ribosomal RNA". It matches the Rfam family "Bacterial small subunit ribosomal RNA", at positions 524 to 776 of the family's 1533-position model. The record is from RNAcentral.
UACGUAGGGUGCAAGCGUUGUCCGGAAUUAUUGGGCGUAAAGAGCUCGUAGGCGGUCUGUCGCGUCGGUCGUGAAAACUUGGGGCUUAACCCUGAGCUUGCGGUCGAUACGGGCAUGACUGGAGUUCGGUAGGGGAGACUGGAAUUCCUGGUGUAGCGGUGAAAUGCGCAGAUAUCAGGAGGAACACCGGUGGCGAAGGCGGGUCUCUGGGCCGAUACUGACGCUGAGGAGCGAAAGCGUGGGGAGCGAACAGG